AUAUUGGACAAUGGGCGAAAGCCUGAUCCAGCAAUGCCGCGUGAGUGAUGAAGGCCUUAGGGUUGUAAAGCACUUUAAGUGGGGAAAAAGGCUCGCUGGCUAAUAUCCAGCGGGAUUGAUACUACCCACAGAAUAAGCACCGGCUAACUCUGUGCCAGCAGCCGCGGUAAUACAGAGGGUGCAAGCGUUAAUCGGAAUUACUGGGCGUAAAGCGCGCGUAGGCGGCUGCUUAAGUCGGAUGUGAAAUCCCCGGGCUCAACCUGGGAACUGCACUCGAUACUGGGCGGCUAGAGUAUGAGAGAGGGAGGUAGAAUUCCACGUGUAGCGGUGAAAUGCGUAGAUAUGUGGAGGAAUACCGGUGGCGAAGGCGGCCUCCUGGCUCAAUACUGACGCUGAGGUGCGAAAGCGUGGGGAGCAAACAGG
Molecule: ribosomal RNA, 423 nt
Filed under: uncultured bacterium
Lineage: Bacteria
Description: bacterial SSU rRNA
Rfam family: Bacterial small subunit ribosomal RNA
Source: RNAcentral